RNAcentral lists this ribosomal RNA (1448 nucleotides) under metagenome. Its description in RNAcentral is "bacterial SSU rRNA". It matches the Rfam family "Bacterial small subunit ribosomal RNA". The record is from RNAcentral.
AGAGUUUGAUCCUGGCUCAGAACGAACGCUGGCGGCAUGCUUAACACAUGCAAGUCGAACGGAAUGCACUUGUGCAUUUAGUGGCGAACGGGUGAGUAACGCGUGGGAACGUGCCUCUUAGUGGGGGAUAACUAUGGGAAACUGUAGCUAAUACCGCAUAGUCUUGUUUACAAGUAAAGGAGUAAUCCGCUAAGAGAUCGGCCUGCGUCGGAUUAGGUAGUUGGUGAGGUAAAUGCUCACCAAGCCUUAGAUCCGUAGCUGAUUUGAGAGAGUGAACAGCCACAUUGGGACUGAGAUACGGCCCAGACUUCUACGGAAGGCAGCAGUGGGGAAUAUUGGACAAUGGGGGAAACCCUGAUCCAGCAAUGUCGCGUGAAUGAUGAAGGUCUUAGGAUUGUAAGAUUCUUUCGCUUGUGAAGAUUAUGACGGUAACAAGAGAAGAAGCACCGGCUAACUUCGUGCCAGCAGCCGCGGUAAUACGAGGGGUGCUAGUGUUGUUCGGAAUUAUUGGGCGUAAAGGGUGCGUAGGUGGAUUUAUAAGUGAGCGCUAAAUGUCUGAGCUUAACUCAGGCCUGUCGACUCAUACUAUUUAUCUUGAAUUCGAGAGAGGGAAGUGGAAUUCCUAGUGUAGGGGUAGAAUCCAUAAAUAUUAGGAGGAACGUCGGAGGCGAAGGCGACUUCCUGGCUCGAUAUUGACACUGAGGCACGAAAGCGUGGGUAGCAAACAGGAUUAGAUACCCUGGUAGUCCACGCCCUAAACGAUGAGCGCUAGAUGUCGGAUUUUUUCGGUGUCACAGCUAACGCGUUAAGCGCUCCGCCUGGGGACUACGGUCGCAAGACUAAAACUCAAAGGAAUUGACGGGGGCCUGCACAAGCGGUGGAGCAUGUGGUUUAAUUCGAUAGUAAGCGAAGAACCUUACCAGCCCUUGACAUGGGAGUCAUAGCUUUUGGAAACUUAAGCAUCGGAUCGGCCGGACUCCACACAGGUGCUGCAUGGCCGUCGUCAGCUCGUGUCGUGAGAUGUUGGGUUAAGUCCUUUAACGAGCGCAACCCUUGUCUUUAGUUGCUAACAGGUAAUGCUGAGAACUUUAAAGAGACCGCUAGCUAUAAGCUGGAGGAAGGCGGGGAUGACUUCAGGUAUCAUGGCCCUUAUGGGCUGGGCUACACACGUGCUACAAUGGCAUUUACAGAGGGAAGUGACGUGGUGACUCUGAACUGACCCUUAAAGAAUGUCUCAGUCCGGAUUGCUCUCUGCAACUCGAGAGCAUGAAGUUGGAAUCGCUAGUAAUCGCGGGUCAGCAUACCGCGGUGAAUACGUUCACGGGCCUUGUACACACUGCCCGUCAAGCCAUGGAAGUCGGUUUUGCCUUAAGAUCAUGUUCCAACCCUUUUUGGGAGGUAGUGAUUUACGGUGGGAUUGGUGACUGGGGUUAAGUCGUAACAAGGUA